CGCUCGUUCUUUGCACCUCCUCUUUUUAACUCUCUUUUAAAAAUAAACUUCGAAAAGCUAGGCGUCCCUUCCCAACACUAAAACUUAUACAUUCCAACCCAAAACCCUAGUUGGCUCUCUCUCUGUCUCCUUCCAUUCCUUUUUUCUUUUCCUUUUUAAUUCUUCCCUCUCCGCGUUCUGUUUUAGAUUCUGUUUUGUCUGCCUUAAUUUUUUAAUUAGUUUUUCCUUUCGUUUAAGAGGAUGGAAGAUAAAGAGGGUGUGGAUCCAGCGAGUGAAUUUACAUCCGAUUCGAGCUGGGCACUCGCUGGAGGACCUGACUCAGUCUCCGACAGCGUCAACUACUUCUUCGAUAGGGAGAGCAAUAUACUGAGUGAGUUCAACUGGAAUCUGCAACCUGAUCAUGCUGAACAGAUUGACCGGUUCGAUGAACUCGAACGGGCCGACACCAGGCCUUAUUUGGCGGGAAGCUUUAGCGGUUCGCAUAGCUGUGUUGCUGCUGCUGCUGCUGCUUGUGGUUCAGGUUCAGGUUCAGGGACAGCGUCGAGUCCUGCUGGCGGGUCGGCUGACGUGUCGACAUUGAUUCCAUCGGUGUCUUCGAGCUCCGGAGAGGAUCCGUCGGAGAAACAUACGGGAUCCGGCGGGAAACCGCCUGAGAUACCGAGUAAGGCCAGGAAGAAGGGGCAAAAGCGAAUUCGACAGCCACGUUUUGCAUUUAUGACCAAGAGUGAAGUUGAACAUCUUGAAGAUGGCUACCGGUGGCGGAAAUAUGGACAAAAAGCUGUUAAAAAUAGUCCAUUUCCUAGGAGCUACUACCGUUGCACAAACAGCAAAUGUACAGUUAAGAAGAGGGUAGAACGCUCCUCUGAAGAUCCCACCAUUGUCAUUACUACAUAUGAAGGUCAGCACUGUCAUCACAGUGUCGGAUUCCCCCGUGGUGGACUCAUCAGCCAUGAAGCUGCCUUUGCUGGCCGAUUCACUCCUUCAGUCUCACAAUUUUAUUACCCACACGGGGAAAUUCCUGCAAGCAUAAUACGUUCACAGCAAGUACCGAUAGAAAUAGUAGAAUCUCGUACACUGCCACAAACCACAAAUGAAGGGCUACUUGGGGAUAUUGUUCCUCCAGGAAUCCGUAACAGAUGAGGAAGAGAUCAUUUUGGUAUGUAUUACAUACUUUGACUCCUUGACGCACUUUGCCUGAAUUUCUUCUAUUUUGGUUCACUUAUUCUAUGUUUGUGUGCUUCCUUUUUGGUACCGUCUGCUUUUUGUAUGUGGACUGAGCUAGUUAUUGAAAGGUACUAAUCCGAUCUCCCACCAUGAGUGCUUCGUACAGCACUGUCGCUUCUUAAUUAGUCACUGACUAGUGGACCAUUGUGAUUGCUAUUUAAACCCACUUGCAUGAGAUAUAGAACACUUCUGUUGAGCAGUCCUAAUAUAUAAGAUUGAGUGCGACCCACGAUGUUGAUGGAUAUACUGAUGGAGUGAUAUAUUAGGUAAAGUCAGUGAUUGGUAUUAUAGCUGACAAGAUGGAAGUGGGCGAGGCCUUUACCUGAAAUCACACUAAAUCUGGUAUUGCUUCCAUGAGUGAGUUCAUUAUUCUCUCUCAUGUGCAGAUAUUUUUAUCUGGUAUUGCUUCAAAUUCUAAUAUAUUAUACGCAUGUGAAUAUGUUGAUUAGGUUUAAAACUUUAGGACAUGACAGCAUAUAUAAAUUUUAACCAUAGAAUAGUGUAAUAUCAUGUGAAAAGAACUGGAUCCUGUAUCUAUUCUAUACUGCCCUUUUUUCUUCUUUUUUUUUUGGGGGGGUCACUGUUUUCCCUUUAGCGAGGUGUUCAUGGAUUCAUAGAUAUACAUACAUACAUACGUGAGUGUGAAGUGAAGUGCAGGAAGGGAAUCGAAAAGAAAAAAGACGUAAAUUGGGCCACUUAUUCUUUUAUGGCUCAGUGGCGUGGAAUUCAAUGUUGCUUCAGAGUCGGUCUGUCAGCCGACAUUGCUUUUUAAAACCCCCUUCUCCUAGGCCCCUACUUUUCCACCUGGAUUUGACAUUGACCCUUUUUCCCCCCUAAAAAUUAUUUUAAUCUUUAUGGCACAGGAGUGUAGUUUUAAAAGCGUACAUAAAAACUUGUCUAAAUAAAUUAAAAUGAUAAUUUGAUCAAAUUUUGUUUUAAAGUUAUAACUAAAUUACAAUUAUUAAAAGUAAUAUAUUUAAAAUUUCUGUUUACACUCAUCGGCCUUAAUAAUAAUUAUUCAUGUGGUUGUGCUUUAGGUCCUUGAAGGACACCUGUUCACCAAAUUUCAUUUCACAUCUUUCAAUUUUGCUUGCUUAAAUUAUUUUCUUUUUUCUAAAUUAGUUUGCUAUGCCCUUUUACUAAGUAGGUAUCUAAUUCUUUUUGCCAACUACUUAAAUUAUACAUCAUUAUCAAAAUUACCCCAUCGUUAAUCAAAUUUAUUAACCCCUUUCACAAAGACUUUAUAAAUAUAUUCAUCUCUACCUACUUUUCAACAACAAAACUCAGGUUACGACUAGCUUCUUUUUAUUUUGACACUCUAAUUCAAAACCUAUGUAUUAUUUUUCUUAAAACAAUUUUUUCGUUAUUUCUAUAUAUUUUACAUAGAAUAGUUAAUGUUAAAUUAACCUCUAUAAUAAAUAAAUAUAUAAACCCAGAUAAAGCAUGAAAUCCAACCUGGUAGAAGUUGAGUAGAA
RNA transcript from Gossypium raimondii (Peruvian cotton), 2699 nucleotides. It is a transcript of the gene named probable WRKY transcription factor 57, with no coding region annotated. Lineage: Eukaryota; Viridiplantae; Streptophyta; Magnoliopsida; Malvales; Malvaceae. The record is from RefSeq and is a predicted model, not a curated record. The transcript is spliced from 4 exons.